UACAGAGGUCCCAAGCGUUGUUCGGAUUCACUGGGCGUAAAGGGUGCGUAGGUGGCGGGGUAAGUUUGAUGUGAAAUCUCUGAGCUUAACUCGGAAACUGCAUUGAAUACUAUCUUGCUAGAGGAUUGGAAGGGGGACUGGAAUUCUUGGUGUAGCAGUGAAAUGCGUAGAUAUCAAGAGGAACACCAGUGGCGAAGGCGAGUCCCUGGACAACACCUGACACUGAGGCACGAAAGCUAGGGGAGCAAACAGG
Molecule: ribosomal RNA, 253 nt
Filed under: uncultured bacterium
Lineage: Bacteria
Also listed under: 1 other name
Description: partial 16S ribosomal RNA
Rfam family: Bacterial small subunit ribosomal RNA
Source: RNAcentral